Labrus mixtus (cuckoo wrasse) is the source of this 1993-nucleotide long non-coding RNA. RefSeq lists it as uncharacterized. Lineage: Eukaryota; Metazoa; Chordata; Actinopteri; Labriformes; Labridae. The record is from RefSeq and is a predicted model, not a curated record. The transcript is spliced from 2 exons.
CGCAUGCAGAUUCACUCAGUCAUGUUGUCAGGAAAUGAUGGAAGUGUUAACCUGCCCUUUUUCAAUAAGGCUGUACUUGACAAUCAGAAUGAAUGUAUACAUCUAUAAACCUGGAAUAUGCCUAAGGCAGGUCAGCACAUUUACUCGAACAAAUAAAAGCAUCUGUGCCUUUCUCAGGAGCAGCUCCGGAUAGGUGGAAGACAGAGCCUUACUUUUUUCUGUGUAUUAUUAUUAUUUAUCUAUUCCCUCAGCUCAUUUGAACUGAAAUAAAUGUAUUUCAGGCGUCUUGCAUACUUACAUGUAAAAGCACGAGGUGAGGACUACUGACCAAAGCCAAAUACUAAAUCUCAAUGCAUAUACAUUUUCUAAUUGUCAGACUUUUAAAGUCUUUUUUCAUCUUACCUCAUAGGUGUUUUAUCAUGUUUUGCACAAAACCUUCUGCAAUUUGGUCUCAGAUGAUAUGACCUCCUAGGUACGACUUUGAAGUUGUCUCAUGUUGCUCUUUAAACUCAUAUACCAAAGUUCCAGAUCCUGAUCCAGAGCUUACACUUACUGCUAAUUGCUAUUUGAACAAGUGGGACUCACUUCAAUAGCAUUGUUUGCUUGUAAUAGUCAUAAAAGUCGGCGUUCUUUAGUUAAAUGGGUCUAAUUUCCACAAAGUCGUUGAAUUGCAGAUUCUAAAAACAGUCAAAAUGACCUGGGUAGUUUGUGUGUUAAAACACUAGGUGUUCAUCGUUUUUCCAUCCAUUCAUCCUCACAAGAAUAGUAAAUCAAACUGAUGACUGUAAUAAUGUAAUAUAGUGAUAUAUAUAUGUAUAUACAUAUAUAUACAUAUAUAUAUAUAUAUAUACAGUAUAUCACUGUGGCCUUUGCUGCACUGCCUGAAAUUUUCCACACAGGGUGGCAGUAUACAGAGCAGCUUCAUGUAUUUCCUUUUUAUAACUUACAUCACACACACACACACACACACACACACACACACACACACACACACACACACACACACACACACACACACACACACACACACACACACCAGCUCCAAUGUUAUUUAGUCAUCCAACUCAAGGUCAAUGCACAUCUCAUGCUGACAUAUAUAGGGUGUGCCAUCAUGUCAUGGCUUCUAGUCAUAUAUUGCUGUGUGUGUCCCCUCUCCUCCUCCCAUAGGGUCUCUCUCAUGUCCUAUGUUCUUCUGAUCGUACACAGCUUGGAGCUUUGGAGCUGUAGUCGUCACCAUGCUGUGACUUGUGCCAGCUAAUAGGGCCAUGCUUGCAUUACAUGUGGCCAGUGGAACGAUGCACAAAGCAGCAGGGCAGCUGAGCCCCCCAUGGUGCACUGCUACACAGCAGGUGGCAGAACUCCCUGUACCUCUGUGGUAGAUGAGAGCAGGAUGAUACAAAGAGGCACAAAGUAACCAUGAACCACCACAUGAAUAACAGCUUGCAGUGCAUUAGUACAAGGUACAUUUUCAUCAUGAUCACAAAUGCCAGGUCAUCAAUCUCUGGAUUUAUUUUUUAAACAAAAAUACUAUGUAGCUUUUUUGGAUGUUAUUAAGAAUCUGCCACUGGAAACCAUGGCUUCUUCACCAUUUCAAAUAAAAAGCCAACCAUGCAGGAAUGUUGCCCAUCGAGGAACUAGAUCACCAAUCUAACAUUUUGUCUUAGUGAAUCUGACUCCCGGGUCAGAGUUUUAUAAUCUGCCGUUAACCAUCCUGAAUGGAGACCUGAGCCUUUCCAGAGCUCUAGUUAUGAAAGGUCUUCCAGAAAUGUCACUUUAAAUGUCAGUAUUUGUGCAAAUACGGAUGCAGCAUAUCUGACUGGCACAUUCCUUAUUUGACAUAUUUUCACAUGGAACUUUUAAGUUUUUGGACAGGAAUAUGACAUAAACCAAAAAUGACAAUGUGGCAACACUUAAAGAAAAACAUUCAGAGCAGCAAAAAUGGAUAUUUGAAAGCCUGGUUUUCGCUGCGUUAAAGGCAAACAAACAUCCAGGC